GUGCUGUGAGCUCGAUGAGUAGGGCGGGACACGUGGUAUCCUGUCUGAAUAUGGGGGGACCAUCCUCCAAGGCUAAAUACUCCUGACUGACCGAUAGUGAACCAGUACCGUGAGGGAAAGGCGAAAAGAACCCCGGCGAGGGGAGUGAAAAAGAACCUGAAACCGUGUACGUACAAGCAGUGGGAGCCCCACCACUAAGCCAGUGGUGAACUCCACAUACGCAUCCUUUGCUGAGGAUACGGUUAACGGAGCGAAAGCGACGUUCAACCGCAAAAGAAGCAGAGGGGGCUUAGUGGUGGGGUGACUGCGUACCUUUUGUAUAAUGGGUCAGCGACUUAUAUUCUGUAGCAAGGUUAACCGAAUAGGGGAGCCGGAGGGAAACCGAGUCUUAAUUGGGCGUUAAGUUGCAGGGUAUAGACCCGAAACCCGGUGAUCUAGCCAUGGGCAGGUUGAAGGUUGGGUAACACUAACUGGAGGACCGAACCGACUAAUGUUGAAAAAUUAGCGGAUGACCUGUGGCUGGGGGUGAAAGGCCAAUCAAACCGGGAGAUAGCUGGUUCUCCCCGAAAGCUAUUUAGGUAGCGCCUCGUGAAUUCAUCUCCGGGGGUAGAGCACUGUUUCGGCUAGGGGGCCAUCCCGGCUUACCAACCCGAUGCAAACUGCGAAUACCGGAGAAUGUUAUCACGGGAGACACACGGCGGGUGCUAACGUCCGUCGUGAAGAGGGAAACAACCCAGACCGCCAGCUAAGGUCCCAAAGUCAUGGUUAAGUGGGAAACGAUGUGGGAAGGCCCAGACAGCCAGGAUGUUGGCUUAGAAGCAGCCAUCAUUUAAAGAAAGCGUAAUAGCUCACUGGUCGAGUCGGCCUGCGCGGAAGAUGUAACGGGGCUAAACCAUG
This 897-nucleotide ribosomal RNA is filed under the name Salmonella enterica. Its description in RNAcentral is "partial 23S ribosomal RNA". It matches the Rfam family "Bacterial large subunit ribosomal RNA", at positions 394 to 1191 of the family's 2925-position model. The record is from RNAcentral. Lineage: Bacteria; Pseudomonadati; Pseudomonadota; Gammaproteobacteria; Enterobacterales; Enterobacteriaceae.